Non-coding RNA from Poecilia reticulata (guppy), 1020 nucleotides. The record is from RefSeq and is a predicted model, not a curated record. NCBI's taxonomy places the organism in Eukaryota, Metazoa, Chordata, Actinopteri, Cyprinodontiformes, Poeciliidae.
GGAUAUUUCUGUCCUCUUUGCUCAUACAAAGCCGAUGAGUCGUUCAAGGUACAGAAUCACAUAACAAGAACUGCUACGGUUCAACAUAACGGUAUGUAAAGCUACACUUACACUAUCAUUUAUUUAUUUACCUUCUUAACAGUUUUGUAGUUGUUGUUUUUUUUUCAUAAAAAACACUAGAAAAAGGUUAAUCCUUUUUGAAAUAUGUUUUUGCACGCCAACAUUUCUGGAAAGUCUAACACUUUUUAUGAACUAAAAGCUGCCAUCAUAGGUGGGUGUAGUUCCCUCUACUUCAUAUAUUUAUAGUAGUAAAUAACUGCAAAAAACACUAGUAAGAGUAACAGUAUUAGGUGAUACAUCUACUAUUAAGUACGGUUUUACUGAUCAUAAUGUGCAGUGUAAUAUUACCCAUUUAUUUCUGCAGACAUGAAUUAAAAUGAAGGUAUGUGCACUGAUAGUUAUUUUAAAAAUGGAAAUUAAAAAUAUUAAUAUAAGUGAGAUGUUAUUGUUGGACAAUUAUAGUUCUUUAGAGCUACCAGACAGCUUAUUUCCAAUCAUUCCUCCGUUCAAUGUUUACAGUCAAUAGUGUGGGUAAGGCUGUUGUCUUAUACAUUAAUUUGAUUGUUAAAGUAAUUUAAAUUUUCCCUCUUUUCUUGAAUGUUCUCUCAAACACCACAGGGAUUGCCUAAACAAGGACUGUCCAACAACUGUGGAAUGUUUGUAGUGAUGGUAACAUCCACUUCCUCCCACCAUUUUGUUGUAUUGUUUGUAUAGACAUAAUCACAUUUUUCUCCACAGUAUGCUCUCUACUUUGUGAUGGAAGCAYCAUUUGAUUUCACGGAGAAUGACAUGAUGACAAUACGAAGAUGGUGGACUCUCACUCUCCUGAGAAACUUCCCUGUGAAGUCCAAAGAAGAACUACAAAAGGAGAGAAAGCGGAAAAAAGUUCAUGAGGGGGCAAAAUAUGAGGUAUGGUUUAGUUCAAAUUCAUCAGUGUGUAGUUUUGAAUCAUGUAAUUUC